Molecule: ribosomal RNA, 463 nt
Filed under: uncultured bacterium
Lineage: Bacteria
Description: partial 16S ribosomal RNA
Rfam family: Bacterial small subunit ribosomal RNA
Source: RNAcentral
GACGAACGCUGGCGGCACGCCUAACACAUGCAAGUCGAACGGACUUACAAGAGCUUGCUUUUUUAAGUUAGUGGCGGACGGGUGAGUAACACGUGAGCAACCUGCCUCUGAGAGGGGGAUAGCUUCUGGAAACGGAUGGUAAUACCCCAUAAAAUAUAAAUAUCGCAUGAUAGAUAUAUCAAAGAAAUUCGCUCAGAGAUGGGCUCGCGUCUGAUUAGAUAGUUGGUGAGGUAACGGCUCACCAAGUCGACGAUCAGUAGCCGGACUGAGAGGUUGAACGGCCACAUUGGGACUGAGACACGGCCCAGACUCCUACGGGAGGCAGCAGUGGGGAAUAUUGCACAAUGGAGGGAACUCUGACGCAGCGAUGCCGCGUGGAGGAAGAAGGUGUUCGGAUUGUAAACUCCUUUUAUCAGGGACGAUAAUGACGGUACCUGAAGAAAAAGCUCCGGCUAACUACGUG